This 1103-nucleotide long non-coding RNA is filed under the name Salmo salar (Atlantic salmon). RNAcentral's name for it is "lncRNA (ENSSSAG00000095928.1)". The stretch from base 386 to 439 matches the Rfam family "UnaL2 LINE 3' element". Lineage: Eukaryota; Metazoa; Chordata; Actinopteri; Salmoniformes; Salmonidae. The record is from RNAcentral.
CUCUGUGCUACUUUUAUCUCUGAGAUGAGACCUAAAGACGUUUCAGCUGCGCUACAGUAAGACCCUCUUUGUUUGUCAACAUGUCCCUGAAAAUACCUGGCUUGAUUACUCUUAGAACAUUUCUGACUAUCUCUGACUCUGUAAGGACUGACGCCGGAGAUAAGAAGCAGGUACAGGGAGUCAAACAUUUAAUCGGGAACAGACAUAGAACAAGAGAGGAACAGCGUCAGCACACGGGUAAACAAGGCGGCCUUCCCUGUGGCUCAGUUGGUAGAGCAUGGUGUUUGCAACGCCAGCAUGGUGUGUGCAACGCCAGGGUUGUGGGUUUGAUUCCCACGGGGGGCCAGUACAAAAAAAAUAUUUUAAAUGCAUGAAAUGAAAUGUAUGCAUUCACUACUGUAAGUCGCUCUGGAUAAGAGUGUCUGCUAAAUGACUAAAAUGUAAAUGUAAGGACAUAUGACAAUCAAUGCAGAAGCAGGGAACAUAUCAGGGAACCAGAUGGAUAUAGGGAAGGUAAUGACCGAUGCAACCUACCAACCAAUUUGAUGAAAUUUCUUUCAUUAUAUUUACUCAUAUGAAUCACGAUUUAAAGGCUUCAUCUGUCUAUAAUCAUGUUGUUGCCUGUCCACUUGAAGCAUCAACAUGACAGUGCCAUCUGUGCCUCCAUUAAUGCUCCAAUCAAAAUCCCACUCAGAAAGUUAGUGUAAGUGAAGCUACUGUUGUUACAUCUGCUCCUGCCAUGCCCUCUACUGCUUAUCCUGUGUCUCCUUGACCUGCCGCCACUCCCCCAGUGCCCUCUCCCUCUGUGUGUGUGAUUGUGUGGGCGGAGACAGGUGUUCUGGAGUCAGACCAGCUGCAACCUGUUCCAUAAUCAAGACCUCUACAAAUACUCAGUCCUGCCACUUCCACACUGCCAGAUCGUAAUCUCUGCUCAUCUCAUGUCUCCUCAUCCUGCUACUCUGCCCUGGAUUCCCCACUCUACUGCUCCCUUGGAUUUCCCUCCGGACCUGCUUACCCUGUCCCAACUCCUCUCGCCUCAGCCUCCGCACCUGGUCUCCUGCAACCUGCCCCAGCUUCCCCUGGCCUGCACUCGAUCUUCCCCC